Molecule: ribosomal RNA, 253 nt
Filed under: uncultured Eubacteriales bacterium
Lineage: Bacteria; Bacillati; Bacillota; Clostridia; Eubacteriales
Description: uncultured Clostridiales bacterium partial 16S ribosomal RNA
Rfam family: Bacterial small subunit ribosomal RNA
Source: RNAcentral
UACGUAGGGGGCAAGCGUUGUCCGGAAUGACUGGGCGUAAAGGGAGUGUAGGCGGCCUUUUAAGUUAUAUGUGAAAGCCCCCGGCUUAACCGAGGAACUGCAUAUAAAACUGGAGGGCUGGAGUGCAGGAGAGGUAAGCGGAAUUUCUAGUGUAGCGGUGGAAUGCGUAGAUAUUAGGAGGAACAUCAGUGGCGAAGGCGACUUUCUGGACUGUAACUGACGCUGAGGCACGAAAGUGUGGGGAGCAAACAGG